ACUUUAGCGGUUUAAAAAUAGACAUUUUU
RNAcentral lists this non-coding RNA (29 nucleotides) under Cricetulus griseus (Chinese hamster). The record is from RNAcentral. Lineage: Eukaryota; Metazoa; Chordata; Mammalia; Rodentia; Cricetidae.